CCUACGGGGGGCUGCAGUAACGAAUCUUCCGCAAUGCACGAAAGUGUGACGGAGCGACGCCGCGUGUGGGACGAAGCCCUUCGGGGUGUAAACCACUGUCAGGGGUAAGAAAGUUCUGAUCUACCCCAGAGGAAGGCACGGCUAACUCUGUGCCAGCAGCCGCGGUAAGACAGAGGUGCCGAGCGUUAGGCGGAAUCACUGGGCUUAAAGCGUGUGUAGGCGGGUUUCUAAGUACCUUGUGAAAUCCCACGGCUCAACCGUGGAACUGCUGGGUAUACUGGGAAUCUUGAGCCACUUAGGGGCAACCGGAACAAAUGGUGGAGCGGUGAAAUGCGUAGAUAUCAUUUGGAACGCCAAUGGUGAAAACAGGUUGCUGGGAGUGUGCUGACGCUGAGACACGAAAGCCAGGGGAGCGAACGGGAUUAGAUACCCGAGUAGUC
RNAcentral lists this ribosomal RNA (440 nucleotides) under uncultured bacterium. Its description in RNAcentral is "bacterial SSU rRNA". It matches the Rfam family "Bacterial small subunit ribosomal RNA", at positions 338 to 795 of the family's 1533-position model. The record is from RNAcentral.